This 427-nucleotide ribosomal RNA is filed under the name Acidobacteriota bacterium. RNAcentral describes it as "Acidobacteria bacterium partial 16S ribosomal RNA". It matches the Rfam family "Bacterial small subunit ribosomal RNA", at positions 355 to 776 of the family's 1533-position model. Lineage: Bacteria; Pseudomonadati; Acidobacteriota. The record is from RNAcentral.
UGGGGAAUUUUGGACAAUGGGGGAAACCCUGAUCCAGCCAUCCCGCGUGUGCGAUGAAGGCCUUCGGGUUGUAAAGCACUUUUGGCAGGAAAGAAACGUCAUGGGUUAAUACCCCGUGAAACUGACGGUACCUGCAGAAUAAGCACCGGCUAACUACGUGCCCAGCCGCGGUAAUACGUAGGGUGCAAGCGUUAAUCGGAAUUACUGGGCGUAAAGCGUGCGCAGGCGGUUCGGAAAGAAAGAUGUGAAAUCCCAGAGCUCAACUUUGGAACUGCAUUUUUAACUACCGGGCUAGAGUGUGUCAGAGGGAGGUGGAAUUCCGCGUGUAGCAGUGAAAUGCGUAGAUAUGCGGAGGAACACCGAUGGCGAAGGCAGCCUCCUGGGAUAACACUGACGCUCAUGCACGAAAGCGUGGGGAGCAAACAGG